RNAcentral lists this non-coding RNA (45 nucleotides) under Schistosoma mansoni. Lineage: Eukaryota; Metazoa; Platyhelminthes; Trematoda; Strigeidida; Schistosomatidae. The record is from RNAcentral.
AUCCAGCUGACGAGUCCCAAAUAGAACGAAACACGCGUCUUGGAU